AGAGUUUGAUCAUGGCUCAGAUUGAACGCUGGCGGCAGGCCUAACACAUGCAAGUCGAGCGGUAGCACAGAGAGCUUGCUCUCGGGUGACGAGCGGCGGACGGGUGAGUAAUGUCUGGGAAACUGCCUGAUGGAGGGGGAUAACUACUGGAAACGGUAGCUAAUACCGCAUAACGUCGCAAGACCAAAGUGGGGGACCUUCGGGCCUCAUGCCAUCAGAUGUGCCCAGAUGGGAUUAGCUAGUAGGUGGGGUAAUGGCUCACCUAGGCGACGAUCCCUAGCUGGUCUGAGAGGAUGACCAGCCACACUGGAACUGAGACACGGUCCAGACUCCUACGGGAGGCAGCAGUGGGGAAUAUUGCACAAUGGGCGCAAGCCUGAUGCAGCCAUGCCGCGUGUGUGAAGAAGGCCUUCGGGUUGUAAAGCACUUUCAGCGGGGAGGAAGGCGGUGAGGUUAAUAACCUCACCGAUUGACGUUACCCGCAGAAGAAGCACCGGCUAACUCCGUGCCAGCAGCCGCGGUAAUACGGAGGGUGCAAGCGUUAAUCGGAAUUACUGGGCGUAAAGCGCACGCAGGCGGUCUGUCAAGUCGGAUGUGAAAUCCCCGGGCUNAACCUGGGAACUGCAUUCGAAACUGGCAGGCUAGAGUCUUGUAGAGGGGGGUAGAAUUCCAGGUGUAGCGGUGAAAUGCGUAGAGAUCUGGAGGAAUACCGGUGGCGAAGGCGGCCCCCUGGACAAAGACUGACGCUCAGGUGCGAAAGCGUGGGGAGCAAACAGGAUUAGAUACCCUGGUAGUCCACGCCGUAAACGAUGUCGAUUUGGAGGUUGUGCCCUUGAGGCGUGGCUUCCGGAGCUAACGCGUUAAAUCGACCGCCUGGGGAGUACGGCCGCAAGGUUAAAACUCAAAUGAAUUGACGGGGGCCCGCACAAGCGGUGGAGCAUGUGGUUUAAUUCGAUGCAACGCGAAGAACCUUACCUGGUCUUGACAUCCACAGAACUUNUUGGUGCCUUCGGGAACUGUGAGACAGGUGCUGCAUGGCUGUCGUCAGCUCGUGUUGUGAAAUGUUGGGUUAAGUCCCGCAACGAGCGCAACCCUUAUCCUUUGUUGCCAGCGGUCCGGCCGGGAACUCAAAGGAGACUGCCAGUGAUAAACUGGAGGAAGGUGGGGAUGACGUCAAGUCAUCAUGGCCCUUACGACCAGGGCUACACACGUGCUACAAUGGCAUAUACAAAGAGAAGCGACCUCGCGAGAGCAAGCGGACCUCAUAAAGUAUGUCGUAGUCCGGAUUGGAGUCUGCAACUCGACUCCAUGAAGUCGGAAUCGCUAGUAAUCGUAGAUCAGAAUGCUACGGUGAAUACGUUCCCGGGCCUUGUACACACCGCCCGUCACACCAUGGGAGUGGGUUGCAAAAGAAGUAGGUAGCUUAACCUUCGGGAGGGCGCUUACCACUUUGUGAUUCAUGACUGGGGUGAAGUCGUAACAAGGUAACCGUAGGGGAACCUGCGGUUGGAUCACCU
RNAcentral lists this ribosomal RNA (1517 nucleotides) under Klebsiella pneumoniae. RNAcentral describes it as "bacterial SSU rRNA". It matches the Rfam family "Bacterial small subunit ribosomal RNA". The record is from RNAcentral. Lineage: Bacteria; Pseudomonadati; Pseudomonadota; Gammaproteobacteria; Enterobacterales; Enterobacteriaceae.